RNAcentral lists this ribosomal RNA (388 nucleotides) under uncultured bacterium. Its description in RNAcentral is "bacterial SSU rRNA". It matches the Rfam family "Bacterial small subunit ribosomal RNA", at positions 29 to 421 of the family's 1533-position model. The record is from RNAcentral.
AUUGAACGCUGGCGGCAUGCUUUACACAUGCAAGUCGAACGGUAACAGGCCGCAAGGUGCUGACGAGUGGCGAACGGGUGAGUAAUGCAUCGGAACGUGCCCAGUCGUGGGGAUAACGCAGCGAAAGCUGCGCUAAUACCGCAUACGAUCUAUGGAUGAAAGCGGGGGACCGUAAGGCCUCGCGCGAUUGGAGCGGCCGAUGUCAGAUUAGGUAGUUGGUGGGGUAAAGGCUCACCAAGCCGACGAUCUGUAGCUGGUCUGAGAGGACGACCAGCCACACUGGGACUGAGACACGGCCCAGACUCCUACGGGAGGCAGCAGUGGGGAAUUUUGGACAAUGGGCGCAAGCCUGAUCCAGCAAUGCCGCGUGCAGGAAGAAGGCUCGUGU